AAAAAGGUGAAGAACUGAAAGCAGGGUUUGAAGGCAUCUGAAUGGAGGCUUAGAAUCAUUUUUCUCAGCUGUAGACACCCAGAGCUGACAGGAGGCUGAUCUCUCUGGCUUUCCUCUCCUCCCUUAGGAAUGCUCAAGUGCUGCCAGCUUGCAGAGAGACGCUAGUGCAAUUUCUUAUGAACUUGCUAGACCCACCCUAAUGCUCUGGGUUGUCUCCUUCCUGAUGGGCUGCCACCAAAGCUCUAAAGCCCUCGCACACAAAGGCACCACAGGACUCCCACCCUCGACAUGAGCGCUCUGCCUGCCUCUGGUGCUGCCUGUCAGACCCUCUUCAGCUGGAAUCAAGGUUUGAAUUUUGACUUCUCUUUGGAGUAUUUUACAAGAACAGAGAUUUUACAUGCUAAAAUGCUUUCUGUAAAACACAGCUGUAAAAAAAAGUGAAUAGGUGCAUGCUGGCAGCAGAGGAAUUCAGAGCUUGUCAUAUUCUGCUUCAUAAACCUGUGUCCUUGAAGUCUCCUGCAUCCUGCCCUGUCAGACAGAUUUAUGCAGUAGCCAUGUUUGUCAAAGUAUUUGGCACCAGUGACAUCAUCUUUGUUGAAAUGCCGGACAGCGUGAUGAGUCCCAGAUGUUAACACACACCAAAAGCUGAGAAAGAAUGAAAUAUAAAGAUCAACUGUAGCAGCUAUGGAGGAUUGUAGUCAGUUUACAUCUGAUGUUGAUACAUGAAGAAUAUGGGAUUUUUUUCAUGGGUUCCUAAAGCUCUUAGGACUUACAGAUAGUGUGUGAAAAUGCUGAAGAAGAAAAUCUCAAGGGGCAAAACAGAGAGAAGUUUGCUGAGUGGGCUGCAUUGUGUGCAGUGAGCAAUAGAGGCAGAAGGUUUG
This is a long non-coding RNA of Catharus ustulatus (Swainson's thrush), 881 nucleotides long. RefSeq lists it as uncharacterized. Lineage: Eukaryota; Metazoa; Chordata; Aves; Passeriformes; Turdidae. The record is from RefSeq and is a predicted model, not a curated record. The transcript is spliced from 8 exons.